CAGCCGCCGCGGUAAUACCGGAGCCCCGAGUGGUGACCGUUUUUAUUGGGUCUAAAGCGUCCGUAGCCGGAUUAUUAAGUUCUCAGUGAAAUUGUUAGGCUUAACCUAACGAAUGGCCUUGAAUACUGGUAAUCUAGGGAUCGGGAGAGGCCAAGAGUAUGCCUAGGGGAGGGGUAAAAUCCUUUAAUCCUAGGCAGACUACCAAUGGCGAAGGCACUUGGCUAGAACGAGUCCGACGGUGAGGGACGAAAGUUAGGGUAGCAAACGGGAUUAGAUACCCCGGUAGUCCUAACCGUAAACGCUGCCCGUUGGGUGUCGCAAACUCUUCGUGUUUUUGCGGUGCCGUAGCGAAGGCGAUAAACGGGCCACCUGGGGAGUACGGUCGCAAGGCUGAAACUUAAAGGAAUUGGCGGGGGAGUACACAAGAGGGGGGACUUGCGGUUUAAUUGGAUUUAACGCCGGAAAUCUCACCAAGGGCGACAGCAGUAUGAAGGACAGAUUAAAGGUCUUUCCUGACGCGCUGAGAGGUGGUGCAUGGCC
This 540-nucleotide ribosomal RNA is filed under the name uncultured archaeon. RNAcentral describes it as "bacterial SSU rRNA". It matches the Rfam family "Archaeal small subunit ribosomal RNA", at positions 459 to 999 of the family's 1478-position model. The record is from RNAcentral.